UUCUGGCCUCUGGACUGUUCAGGCAUCGGCAGCCAGGGAGUGGCCACAGAGAAGUGCUUGGAGUCUGGGGCAGUUUGGCGUUGCCCCGAGCGCUUUUCUAACAGCUAUGAGAAGCUCAGAACAAAAGGAAUAGCCCGGGGUGGCUGCCUGCCUAAAGGAGAUCUCAGAGCGCUGCAAAUGCCGAAACAAAACUUCACCAAGCAAAGCUCCCCUGCAGCCCACGAAGAGAAAUAACUUUUAAAAUUAAUGCUUUGAAAAAGCCAACCUAAUGCAUCUCAAUUAUCAGCAAAGAAACUGCUUGGGAAGGAUCCCUCCAGUAUACAAGAGGUCUGCACCAACCUAACUUUGUGAACAGAUGGAGCAUGUUGCAAGUCCUCCCAUGAAGACCUUGGCUGAGCAUCGGAGGUCCGCCUCCCUUGCACAUCUGGAUAGUCGGGCACAGCAUUGUCCAUUGGGCCAGCACGAGGGUGGAGGAGUCUGGAAUUGG
Molecule: long non-coding RNA, 487 nt
Organism: Lacerta agilis (Sand lizard)
Lineage: Eukaryota; Metazoa; Chordata; Lepidosauria; Squamata; Lacertidae
Exons: 4
Source: RefSeq, a predicted model, not a curated record